This 68-nucleotide transfer RNA is filed under the name Marmota monax (woodchuck). RNAcentral describes it as "tRNA.Ala". Lineage: Eukaryota; Metazoa; Chordata; Mammalia; Rodentia; Sciuridae. The record is from RNAcentral.
GGGAUUGUGGCUCAGUGGUAGAGUGCUUACCUCGCAUGUAUGAGCACUUGGUUCGUUCCUCAGCACCA